AUGUGAACACAAUAAUUUUAUAUUAUCUAUUAGAAGACACUCUAAUGUGAAAAUAUUGAUCUUCUAAUGCUGUUACCUGCUGUGUCUUUAGUUUCUCGUCCAUUUUAGAUUAUUUACUUGUGAAGAUUCAAGUUUAGAGGUGCUUUAUCUGUGGAAGUUGUGGAGCACACAUGCUCUAAUGUUGUCAUUGUGUCUAACAGGUGUCCAGAAUUAUCACUGGUACAGGAGCAUAUUUAUGUUAAUUUCUUAUUUUGGAUAUUCCUGAACAUUGAAGAUUUUGAAGCUAGUACAAAUUUGAACCACACACUUGUUCAUGAAACAGGCUCAGAGUACAAAUUCUUCAGGAACUCAAGCAGAGAUAGCAAAACCUAAGUUUCAGAAACAGAAUAAGAUGGUUGAAGACUUUCAUUAUCUUUCUGAAUUGUAGAGUUUAUCAACUGUAUAAAUGUUUUGCCUCAAUGGGAGGAGGUAUUAUGACUGAAUUGUACCUUCAAUAAACCUCUUGCCAGUGCUGGAGAAAAAUUUCCUUGGGCUGGGCAGCUUAGCCACACCUAAGAAAACAAUGAAUGUGAAAGCACUUUAAGAGUGAAGUUCUGUGUGGAGUCCUCAUGGUGAACAUUAUGCUCUGCACUAGGCUAUGAAAUGAUGAUGGCCAACCAUGGAUAGAAGCUAGUGGGGCUUUCUACUCUGCUUAAACUGUUCCCAUUCCAAUGUGCAAAACACUGCUCAAGAGUUUCCUUGUUGGAGACUGACAGACAGAAAAGAAGAAGAAUGCAUUGUGUUCUCAGAGAAACCCAGACAAGAAAAGAUUGGAGCUGCUGAGCUGAGAGCACUGAGAACUGAGAGCACUCAAUCUUUUAUGUCCUUUUGGAGGUACAGCAUGGGAGAAAUGGGAUCACCUGGUAGUAGGACUCCAGUUGCUCCCAAUGCGACUUCCUGCCUUGGUGAAGUCUACUGGAAGGAGUGUUGACUCUGUUAGAGACGUACAAGUAGAGAGCUCCAGCAAGCUGGAAAUAGGAGUCUGUAGUCCAGCAGAGAAGUCAGGCUUGAAGAUACAAAUUGAGGAGUCAUCAAAGUAUGGAUGACAUUGGAAGAGAAGGAGCAAGAUGACAUGACUUCAAGAGUGGGUGCAGGUGGGCUGCUUCCCAUCAUGGAGGCGGUUGGAGCUGCUGACCUUGCCAAGAGAUAGGCAGACACAAACAGAGCGGCACCAUUCAGCUCAGCUGUCCAUUGGCUGGGCUGUCAGGGUGUGAGUAAUCAUUACAUUGUUGUAAAAUAUUGCUAAAAGAUUUUUCAUUUUUACACUCUAACAAAAAUUACUUUGGGACCUAAAUUAAAGUUCCUGUAUUAAAACCAACUUGUGUCACCCAGCUUAUAUUUAAGUCCUAUAGCUUUCAACUUAUUUAGGAAACAAGGUUGUAUUUGUUUAAGGUUGACCAGGCUUCUAAACAGGAUAGUCCCAGAGACUGCUACCAAAGCACGCAAGGAAUGAAUUAGUUAUAUAAGAGCUAACAUUUAUUAAGUACUUACUCAGUUCUAGAUAUAGUUCUAAGUACUUUACAUGUAUUAGUUUAUUUAAUUCAAUGAGAAAAAUUUACAGUUAAGGAAAAUUAAGUUUACCCAAAAAGUAAUUGACUUGUCCAAGACUGCACAGUUAACAACAGCAAGAACAGAAUUUGAGCCCUAGUAAUUGACUUUCUGCGAGUAUGUUCUUAACUACCAAAGUGUUUGAUAGAGGUCAUUUUAAAAGACUGAAUGUGGGAAAAUUGUUGCCUGUUUUUCUGAUUAUAAAUUAUUGGAGCAAAUAUUAGAACUGGAAAUUAAUGAUGUUUCUAAAGCAAUAAAAUUAUUAUUUCAGAAUUUCAAGGGAAACAAAAAGAUUUCAAAGUCAGGUAGGCUCUGGCUAGGAGGGUGGAUUAAACACCACAUAGCUGAGUUGUGGUUGCCAAUGAGUUGCGUCUUUUGACGUAUACCAAGCCAACACAUUAAGCCUCAUUACCUCAGUCAUAUUGAAUUACAUUUUGUAAUUUAAUGAAACGUGAAGUUAGACGGUGCAGUACAGUCAUCAGCUUAAAGUGUUGAUGUGUUCUCUGGCAAAGAGACAACUGGAUAGACUCAAUUCUCAGUCUUCCCAUUCUGAUGGAGGCGAUCAGCUCUGUCCCAGCCUCAUUUUGGCUAAUAAGCGAAAUGCCUUUUUUUUCCAUAUCUUUUUGGCAAAUUAUGUUUAUGUUUUUAUCUUUUAUUAUUUUUUCUCUUUUCCUUUUGAUAAGAAGCCCAUGAAUAGAGAGAAUGUUGGAAAAGUUUAGCCCCAGAUUUUGUAAUAUGAGGUAGAAUCUUGCUUAGAAGGGUGCCUUCAGUGUUAAUGUAGGAAAGAGCAUUAAAUAUAGUAUUGUGCUUUUUUAAAAGAUCCUGGUACCGUAGUAACUAGAUCCUAUUAGACAAGCUGCAGGAAGAAGCUGUCCCAUGCCUAAGAUUUUGUGUGUGUGUGUGUGUGUGUGUGUGUGUAUUUGUUUAGUUUUUCACUCUUUGUCUUUAUAUAGGAAGACAAUGGUGCUAUUGUGAGGUUUCAGAGAAUGUAUAUUGAAUUACAGCUAUAAAUGCCCCUCUCAAAGUAAAAUAAAGGGAGGAUGUAUCAGGAGAGGUGGAGAUAAGAAUGGCUUAUGCCCUAGACUCUGUUUUCUCUCUGGUCAAUGAUUUCAUUAAUAAAGGAAAAUAAUCAGAACAGAUUUCCUUUAGAGCAGUGUUUCACAAAAUGUGGUCCUUGGGCCAUCAAUAUCAGCAACACUUGGGAAUUUGUCAGAAAUGCAAAUUCUCAGGUGUAUUGGAUCAAAACCUCUGGAGUUGGGUCUCAGCAAUUGGUGACUGACAAGCUCUCCGGGUAGUUCUGAUGCACACUCAAACUUGAGAACCACAGUCUCAGCCUACUUCUAAGGCUAUCCCAACUGUCAGGGACUAAUAAUCCAUAAUUAAUAUUUUGAGGAUAAAUAAGUAAUGCUGGCCCAAGUGUGCAAAACUCAGGGAUACAGUGGUUAUGAGUUGUCUCCUGAUCCAUGGAGCUGUGUCAGGUCCUCACUUUAAAUCCAACUUGGUGUCCUAACUCAGGUAUCACAUCCAGAGUUAGGAGUGAUGGGGAAUAAAAGCCAAUAUUCCCUUAGUUGUACAUACCAUACCACUUCAAAAAUAAACAUCCUUGAACAUAAUAUCCGUACCUUUUCCCAAUUACUUACUUAAAACAUAUUUUUGGAAAUAGAUUUUCUGAGAUGAAAGUCGUGAACUUUAAACUGUAAUCUAUUUUGCUAAAUUACCUUUAAAAUCAUUGAAAUAAUCUAUACCACUCAUUCCUUGGACACAACAUCACUGCUUAGUUCAAUCUUUUCCAUUUUUGCCAAUUUACUUAGGAAGCAAUGGCAUCUAAAUUUUUUUUCUUUUCAUUAUUAAUGGAGUUAAGUAAUCCAUUAAUGACUUUAUGGUUGGUGGGCUUAUUGGUAACUUCUGAGUAGCUUUUCUUUAUCCUUUCUUUAAAAAUCACUUUUUUUUUCUUAUUUAGUCUGUUACAAUACACCAAUUUAAACAUAGAUUUCUUGUUGCUUCCCAGGGACAAAGUCUAGUUAGUCAUGACAUAUAUAAAGAUAAACACACAUGGCCAUAUGUUCCAUGCGCACCCUGGAUUCAACUGAAUAAUAUUUUAUAUUUUAUUUUUCAUCAACCUUCCUAAGAAUAUUGAGACUAGAUUUUUUCUAAUACUUCUAUCACCUGAUUUUAAUAUCUAGGUUAUACUACCCUUACAAAAUAAGCUGGGUGUUUUCUCUCUUUAAUUGUCUUAAGAUUUUAUAAUAUAUGCAUUAUCUGUUUCUUAAAAUUUUGGUAAAAGUUGCCUGAAGAUCUGUCUGGGCAGGUGGGUGUCUUGUGAGAAAAAUAUUUUUGCUAUAAUUUCAAGCUCCUUAGUAGUUAUUACCU
Molecule: long non-coding RNA, 3957 nt
Filed under: Homo sapiens (human)
Lineage: Eukaryota; Metazoa; Chordata; Mammalia; Primates; Hominidae
Description: HSALNT0327039
Source: RNAcentral